UGGAAGUCUCUUUCUCCUCCAGUGUGU
RNAcentral lists this non-coding RNA (27 nucleotides) under Mus musculus (house mouse). Lineage: Eukaryota; Metazoa; Chordata; Mammalia; Rodentia; Muridae. The record is from RNAcentral.